ACGAACGCCGGCGGCGUGCUUAACCCCUGCAAGUCGCACGGAAAGGCCCUGCUUUUGUGGGGUGCUCGAGUGGCGAACGGGUGAGUAACACGUGAGUAACCUGCCCUUGACUUUGGGAUAACUUCAGGAAACUGGGGCUAAUACCGGAUAGGAGCUCCUGCUGCAUGGUGGGGGUUGGAAAGUUUCGGCGGUUGGGGAUGGACUCGCGGCUUAUCAGCUUGUUGGUGGGGUAGUGGCUUACCAAGGCUUUGACGGGUAGCCGGCCUGAGAGGGUGACCGGCCACAUUGGGACUGAGAUACGGCCCAGACUCCUACGGGAGGCAGCAGUGGGGAAUAUUGCACAAUGGGCGGAAGCCUGAUGCAGCAACGCCGCGUGCGGGAUGACGGCCUUCGGGUUGUAAACCGCUUUCGCCUGUGACGAAGCGUGAGUGACGGUAAUGGGUAAAGAAGCACCGGCUAACUACGUG
RNAcentral lists this ribosomal RNA (467 nucleotides) under uncultured bacterium. RNAcentral describes it as "partial 16S ribosomal RNA". It matches the Rfam family "Bacterial small subunit ribosomal RNA", at positions 29 to 507 of the family's 1533-position model. The record is from RNAcentral.